Long non-coding RNA from Argentina anserina (silverweed cinquefoil), 573 nucleotides. RefSeq lists it as uncharacterized. The record is from RefSeq and is a predicted model, not a curated record. The transcript has 3 exons. Lineage: Eukaryota; Viridiplantae; Streptophyta; Magnoliopsida; Rosales; Rosaceae.
UGUUGCUCCUAUGAACUACUGUGAUGCAUAUACUAUUUCCGUACAAUUGAUAAGCAGACUUUGCUACCUCUAAGUCAUUUCAGUGAGUAACCCAUUUCAGUUGGGGGUUUUCUGAUUUAGGCAAUUUCAUGGUGGCGGACUGAUACAAUGAGCUUUGCCUUGUUUUCCGUUGUUCUGCUUGUGGUGUUGGUUUACUGAGAGGAUGAGUCAGGAGAUAGAAAUGAGGAGAAGAAGCUUGCAUUUUCUAGCCAUGCUUCUUUGGUUUCCAGCGAGCUGCGACUCCAAUUCAGGUUCACAGUUGGUGGUAGUGACUUUGAUGUUUUUGCUCAAUCUAAUAUCAUAAGAAGGCUGCAUAGAUGAUUUUAGUUGCUACUGAUGCUUAAUUGAAUUGAUUGGGAACCAAAGUUACUUCUUUUCGGGGCACAUCUCAGCUAUCUAUGCAUCCUCGCUACAUACAUGAUGGUGUCACUAGAUCGAGUUGUUAUUGAACAUGGUGCAGUUCCCCUAUUUAUGUACUUUCUAAGAUCCAGCAGUGAUGAUGUCAGAGAGUAGGUUCCGACUACCUCUUACAUU